GCGGGCCUGGCGCAACCGGCAGACGCGGCGGGCUCAAACCCCGCUAGAUGGGGGUUCGAGUCCCCCGGCCCGCACCA
This is a transfer RNA of 77 nucleotides. It matches the Rfam family "tRNA". Rfam says of the family: Transfer RNA (tRNA) molecules are approximately 80 nucleotides in length.